AUGGACUGGAUGCGCUCAGUGACCCCUCCCCCUGCCUAUUUAUUCAGUGUGUUCCACGGCUGAGUUCAGAAAAGCUUUUCUCCCUUGUUCUCGAGCUGUAGUCCCAGUCCACUACAAAGGUGUUGGAGUCCUGGUAUUCUUGCUGGUGUGCAUCCUCUCUUUCAGCCACCAAGUUUGUUUUACUCUAGAGCUGAAUGCCAACCUCUUGCCUGUGGUGACCAAACCCAACCGUUUUUCACCUCCCCGUGGACAAGGUUUCCCACAAGUAUUCUUGGUCGUGUACUACUUGUUCCAUGCUCGGCAAAGAACUCCUACCAGAAGGAGUGAAGAUUCAAGCUGAAGUGGUGACUGAAGAGGAAUCUACUCCAGUGGCUGCUGAUCAAGUGGAGGAGCCAUCUAACUGGGGUUUAAUAGAGGGAUCGAGUACCUCUUCACUGCAAUAAGGCGAAGUUUUAUUCCCUUAUCUUUGGGUUAGUUACUUCAUGUGGAAGACUUCAAGCUUAGAAGGUUUUUAUAUAUCUCUUAUGAAAAGGCUUCACCCUUCCAAUUAUUGUAGUUAAGUUAUGCCCUUCGAGUACUAUCAGGACUUGUAAUAAAUACAUCUCUUUCUACCAUGUAAAACUUGUGUUCUAGAAUGUAAAGUGUACUUUGUAAAA
Long non-coding RNA from Zea mays, 656 nucleotides. RefSeq lists it as uncharacterized. The transcript is spliced from 3 exons. The record is from RefSeq and is marked validated. Lineage: Eukaryota; Viridiplantae; Streptophyta; Magnoliopsida; Poales; Poaceae.